AUGGUGAUCCUUUGUGGUGGCCACCCUGCUCCUUCGGUUCAUUCUGAAUUUUUAUCUGGAUGGCUAUCACUCAACAGCACCAGAAUGCCUUACCAUUUGUGCUCAACCGAAAGGAACAUCAGAAAGCAAAACAGACAUCAGCAGGCGAUUACCUUCGCAAAAAGCACUUCACUACAAGAUUCAGUGGCCUCUGUAAAGCCAUCUCGUCUUCUGCCCACAGUGAAACCAAAAACAUUUCCCAAUAGCGUCCCUGAUGAGAUACUAUCAAAACUCAAAUUGGAAGAAUCUGAUGCCUUUUACAUGCUAGAGCUGUGGACAACUAGAGAACUUAGUUCCUCUUUGCUAGAUAAGAAUGCUGCGACCUUAAUCUACUUAAUCGAUGUUGACGGUGCCUCCUUGUUAAAAAGAGUACCAGCAAUCUAUGGGGACCAACCUGCACAUGGCACCACGCCCUUACAAUUCCUUCCUUUUCAAAGUGGUUCAGUUGAUAUCAUCACCUUUAAAGGUCCCAAAUUGCAGACAAUCAAAGAAAUCUGGAUCGGCCUUGAACCAGAUCAGGUUCAUGGAGAUUAG
This 573-nucleotide ribosomal RNA is filed under the name Triticum aestivum (bread wheat). Its description in RNAcentral is "partial small subunit ribosomal RNA". Lineage: Eukaryota; Viridiplantae; Streptophyta; Magnoliopsida; Poales; Poaceae. The record is from RNAcentral.